GGUGCCCCCCUACGUAGCUAAGGGACUGGGCCUCUCUCCCGCCCCAUUGCCCCCUCGGGGAUGCCCUGCAACGGAGCUCCUCCUUCUCCAGGACCGUCCUUCUUUCCCAGGACUUCCCCAGAGGCCCUCCUUUUCGGGGCCAGUCCUCCUUUUCCAGGGCAAGCCUCCUCUUCCAGGACGGCCCUCCUUGUCCAGGACUUUCCCAGGACUUGGAGAGAUCUUGGAACAGCCUUGGGACUCACUCAAAGAAAAAAAGAGGAAAGCAGGGGAUGGAAGAAACUGCUACUCCUAUUUGGAAGCCCUUUCUCCAGAAAUGUGGAGCUUCACAGGUGUAUUAGGCUGCCACUAUACUGAAGAAUUAAUGCAGUUUGACACCGUUUUAACUGCCAUGGCUCCAUGCUAUGGAAUGCUGGGAUUUGUAAUGUUCUUAGAUAUUUAGCUCUCUGUCUCAGAAAACUGUGGUGCCACAACAAGCUACAUAUCCCAGAAUUCCACUUCAUGGAGCCAUGACAAUUAAAGUGGUGUCAAACUGCAUUAAUUCUGCAGUGUGGCAGCAGCCUUAGAGAGACGUCUGGUCAUCCAGUACUCUUCCUGCUAAGAACAAGGACAAAGUUGCCUCCCAAUUAAAUGCUAAUCUCGAGUCUCUGUGAUUGAUUUGAAUGCUUCCGUGAGCAACACAUGCAGCGCUUCCAAGUCUGGAUAAAAAAUGGCAAGGGCUAUCAUCAAUCCUCAUGCUUGGGAAGCACACCAUGAAGAUUGCAAAUGAGUGACUCUCUGACAGAAGUUAAGCUCAGUCUUACAACAGAUCUCAGGAGGUGUGAAACAGAUAUUUUCAUCAAAAAUCUCAACGUGAAUUAUUUCCUCCCACACUUUCAUGCAAGAGUAAUUCUAAACUCUGGUAGACUGGUGAUGGUAGGAAGGAGAAGAGAGAGGAAACUGAAACGUAGGUUCCUCACUCACUCUGGCUGCUAAUACUGUACUGUAUAUAUAAACAGCCUUGCAGGGAGCCACCAUCAGUUCCACACAGGGACAUUCUGGCCAAUAUCCUGCAUUGGGGUUACACAGGAAAAAUGACCACAUGCAGAAUUAUUGUUGGAUCUACUAUGAAAUGCUUGUGUUAAAUGGCAACAUUGCACAACCAAGCAUUCAGCCAAAGGAGCACUGCUAUUAGUUUCAGCAAGGGCAGGUGGAUGCACAUCAGCUGAGGAUAGUCAUAGAUAUGUUUCAGGGCAGUUAUGUUAACCACCCUGCUUUUCCAUCCUUGAAUUUAAUACAGAUAUUGCACAUCAGACAAAAAUGUCUUAACUCCUUCUCAAAGAGAUACACAGGAUUCUGGACUGUAGUUGCUAGACUCUGUAGGUGGCUUCCUGUGCCAUCAUCUCUUGCAUGAUAUGAACAAAAUCCUCCAAAUAUGCCAAAUCUCUAUGAUGAAAUGUGCUCCAAACAAUUGGUUUCCACCUGCUGCAAAUAUUGCAGCUUGGAUGUAGAUAAGCCUGCAGGCGUUGAACAAAGACCCUUGUGGCAUCUUUGAGAAUAACUAAUUUUUCAUGGUAGAAAUCCUAGCCCUCUCUGCAUGAUAGUCUGCAUGAGUGCAGCGGAGUGAGCCUGUGGAAAUCGUAUAGCAAAACCUACUGUAUUAAGGAGACUAUCUUUUAUUGUAUUUUAUUGAUGUGUUUUUGUAUGUAUUUUAUAUGUUGUAAUUGCACCUCGAUCCAUUAUUAUUAUUAUUAUUAUUAUUAUUAUUAUUAUCAUCAUCAUCAUCUUGAUGUUUCUUUCCUGAAUGCAAGAUGUACUAGCAAAUCUCUCUAUAAACCAAGGCAAUUGCUUAUUAAUGGCUUCCCCUGUCCCCCAUGCCUCAAGAUGCAUUUCAAACUACUGGAGGGAGAGAAGGCUGUCCUCCUACAGCACACUAGAUAAUAACCCCAGAACAGAUUUGCCAGUGCUGUUAUUUUGCUGGCCUCAAAGGAGGGUUUUGCUGGCCAUUUUAUGGUAAAAAGGUUUGUAUGGCCAAUGUUACCUGGAGACAUCGCAAGAUGGCAGUGCAGUUUGUAACUAAGAAGGAAAAUAAAAGUAGAGAUAAAGUGCUCUAUUAAUAUUUCACUACCAAAUAAUCCAUACUGAGAUAUAUAGUCUUAAUAUAUAGAAAGACUGAAGAGUUACAUCAUGACCAAGUAUAUAUAGUUCCUUCGGUUUGAUAUCUAUCAUGUUAAGUGCAACCUUUGAAGUUGACCCUAUGGAUCCUAUGCUUUAUUGAUAUUUAUAAAAUGUUAGCAGCUUCUUCAGCAUUGAGACUUCAUUGCUACUAACAUACAAUGCCCUGGAAGAACAGGAGUUGAUAAGCAUCUUUGGAUAAUUCACCCAUUUUGUUAUGAAAUGCUAAUAAUGUGAGUUUUUAAAAUAAUACAUUGUAUUUUAAAAAAAUGCUGUCUUACAGCGUAAUGAUAAAAAUCAUGCCAGAUCAAUCUCAAAUGGUUAUCACAGGGCUGAGGAACAUGUGCCCUUCCACAGUUGGACUCAGACUGUCAUCAGCCCCAAUCAGCCUGGCCAACAAUGGGGGGAUGAUGGGAACAGUGGUACAACAACAACUGGAGGACCUCUGUUUGCCCAUCUCAGACUAUCCAUUUGCCUGAAACCUUACAUUAUGUAAAAUUAUCUAACAUUCUCCCAUUUCUGUGCAUUGGAUGGCAGAUUAUCUCUUGCAAAAUGAGGUACAAACUUCUCUCUAUCUCUUCCCUCCACCACCAAGAUUUCCAAGGCUUGUGGAUUGCAAAAUGGGAUACAAACCUCUCUCUCUCUCUCUCUCUCUCUCUUCCCUUUACCACCAUCAUUUCCAAAAUGGGGUAGAAGCCUCGGCAUACUCUCUCUCUCUCCCUCCCUUGCCUCACCAGCUGUUUGCUGGCUAUGAAGGAAGGCUGAGGGAUAAGACACACACAGAGAGACACGAGAGUGCACUGGGACUCAAACGGAGGCAAACUCUCUGUUGCCUCAGCAGCUGUUUGUUAGCUCUGGCUAUGCAGGAAGGCUGAGGGAUAAGACACACACAGAGAGACAUGAGAGUGCACUGGGACUCAAACAGGGAGGCAAACUCUCUGUCACCUCAGCAGCUGUUUGUUAGCUCUGGCUAUGCAGGAAGGCUGAGGGAUAAGAUACACACACACACAUACAGGAGAGCUCACAGGGACUCAAACAGGGAGCUGUUUAACCCUCUCUGGCUACGAAGGAAGCAUGGGCACUUCUUUUAGGAACUUUAUAAACAGUAUUAACUUAUUGUCCUGUAUAUAAGUUGACUCAUGAUUUUAGAGUCCAUUUGGGACAUAAAUAUCUCAACUUAUAGUUGAGUAUAUGUGGUAGAGCUCAGAUGUGGUGUCAUGCAUUGCCUAGCAGUUCUGAGCUGCCCUGCAAGUGGUAGCCAAAAGAGUAGAGAUUGAUUCAGGAAAAUGCUGAGCACAGUGAAAUCAAAAGUCCACUUUGAAAAAUACCAUUAGGAAUGUAUGAGGAACUUGGAUCAUCAAGAUUCCACCGUCUUCUUCCCAGAACACCUGGGAACUGGCUGCAGUUUGCAGCCAGAAACAUGUGCAUUUCUUGCAACACUCACUGCAUAACAAGUGUGUGUGUGUGUGUGUGUGUGUUUGCCAGUAUAUACCAAUGUUUUUUUUUUAAAAAACUGCACAGAGAAAAAUAUAUUUCUAAAAGCACACAAACACGUUUAUUCAGUCAGUGUAUGCAUCCAAAAUGCAUACAAUUUUAACAAUGGGCACAGUUACCUUUACUAAAAUGUACAUUAAAAUAGACGUGAAAUAUUUGGGGGUGAAUAGAGUGCAUAUGCAUAGAACUGGAGUAGAAUGAUCUGGGGUGUUAUUAAAGUGUGUCAACAACCCCCCAAAAAGGCAACACCAAAGGAUAAACGUACUAUCUAAAGAACUGUCCAAAGAUGUCUUUCUUUUCCCAUAUCCAUAAUCACCACCUGCCUGGUAGCAUCAUUUUUAAUGGGCUAGAAUGUUUUUCCUUUUUCCUCUUUUUAAUAUUUCAUUUUAAAAAAUGUUCUUAUUUUGUACAAGUUUACAUUAUAGGUCUUGCAUGAAUGCAAUCUACCAUCUACUACCUACAGUUUUACCAGUGUUUUGCAUCCAUUUGAAGAUUUGCCUUUUUCCGUGUGCACUUCUCAAAUAGGUGUAAUUUCUCUGCAGAUAGCCCAAGGAUAUCAGAGAGCAAAGUGAAUCAGGCUUGUGGACAAUUUGGCAUAAACCUAUUAAACCUUGGACUGAAAUCAGAUUCCUCACACUUUCCAAGUCAUUUAUUUCUUUUUAAAAUUUAUAUCCCACUUCUCUCCUGCAUAGGACCCUUAGUUCAGAAAGUUGGUAUGCAAAGGGAUCUUGUAACACCUUUGUGACUAACUGAAAGAGAAAAUUUGGUAGCAUCAGCCUAUGAAGUCUAUGAACGUUCAAGCUACCAACCUCUUUCUUUCAGUCAUGCUACCAAUGUCUCUCUUUUAUUUGGUCUCAAAGUUGCUACAAGUUCCCUUCCCUACUGGUUUUCCAGACUAACACAGCUAUGUCUUUGAAUUUGUUCUGAAAGAAAAAUGAAGCAAAUGUCUUUGCAGUAAUUUGACCCCAACGCCUCAAGUUCUAAGACCAAUACAGGAUAAAUUUCAGUUCCAUUCUUGGCUGAAUUUAUUAUAUUUCACAUCUGAUUGCUGCAGUAGCUUUGUACCUGGACUUAUUUUUAUUAAUUCACAUUAUGUACAGAAUAUAUCUGCAAGCUUAUCUGCAACUGAAUAUUGUUGUUGUGUUACUUCAAGUCAAUUAGAUCAUAUGGCAAACCUAAGGUGAAUCUACCUUGGCAAGAUUUGUUUAGAGGAGGUUUGCCUUUGCCUUCCUCUGAGGCCGAGAGAGUGUGACUUGCCUAAGUUCACCCAGUAGGUUUCCAUAACUAAGCAGGGAUUCAAACUCUGGUCUCUCUAGUCCAACACACAAACUACUACACCAUGCUGGCUCUUGCGGUUAAAAGCUUCAACCAUUUCAAUAGCUUCAACCUUUGGAAAGGGCUGAAAAUGUUACAUGUUCCCUUUUAGUUUUGAAAAGACAACCCCCUCCCUCUCUUUUCAUUCCUGCUUUGCCCAUUCACACCCAUGACAUUUUUUGCUUCCCCUUUCUCUCUUUUUCAUGAGGCUAAUUAAUUACUUCAGAAGGAACAAAGGAAGAGCAAAGAGCAUUGGCAGAAUCUUUCAUGGCUUCCUGCAGCAAAGCGAGCUGAACCAUCUUGGCUUCUGUGCACAGUUUGCAGAUGGUAAUUGUAUAAGAACUGUUUGUUCUCAAGCUUCAUGUCAAGAAGGAGAUAAUACUGAACAAAUUUCACAGUCAGCUCCCAUUGCUACAGCUUUCAGCGCUGCAGCAGGGAACCCAUUCUGGUUUCAUUUACAUUUUCAGAGGAGUCCUGUAGUGAGGACCUGAACCCACAGGACAUCUCAGAAUGGUUACCAGAUGUUUGAACAUGUUCACUGUCAUGUAAUUGUGGUUCCAGGAAGAACAAGGAAGAACAGGAAGACUAACAACACCAACAAAGAAAACUGCUCCGCCUAGCAGGCCCAAUAGAUCAGAUCUGAUCACAAGGAAACAAAAACAGCAGCUUGUCUCAGAAAUGAAUGUAACAGAAAUGAAGGCAUUGUCCUGAGUCUAAAAGGAGCAUCUGAACAAAUAUCGAGAGCUCCCUGACAAGCAUGAAUUAAACCAUUCAAGUAAUGACAUGAAUCCCUGAACCAAAACAGCACAAAGAAGGAAGGCCCAAGUGACCAGGGAAAAGCCAAAGAGAUCUUCAAGUAGCUCCAAUAUUCUACUAAAACAAACACAUUCUGAUCCCCUUGAGGUAGGGUUAUCUACUGCUUAGAAGAGAAUGGCCUUGAUGAAGUGAUUUCUCUGCACUUUAAACAAGUCUGUUUCCCUUCUCACAUCUACACUGCUCUUGUGAAACACUCAGUUCUGGAGUUUUCCUCUUGCUCAACUAUGGAAAGACAGAAGCCAGAAGCUCCCUUUGGCUCCUGCAAGUGUGAAACCCUAAGAGACACCAAACCAUAAGGUGAGUCCACCUAAAGAGGAAAUGAAGAAACAUGAAAAACGACAAAUUGGAUAAUUUUUUAAUCAUAAAUUCGAAUCUCUGUAUGUAUGUUAUGAAAGAGUCCCAGUUAUAAUAACAUCAAAAGAAAAUAUUUGAUUUAAAGUCGUAAGUCAGUUCCUUUGAUGGCAAAAAUAAAGAAAAAGGGGUUUAAAUUAUCUUUCUGAUUUUACAUACAGAUUAGAAGGAGUGUAGUAGUAAACUUCAGGAAUUCAAUUUUUAUGUUUUAUGUUGUAGGUUGUUAGGUUAACAUUUGUUUGUUUGUCAAUGUUUGUUAAUGUCUAGGACAAUUCGUACAAAGUGUUAAUGUAUAGGUAUAAUAGAUUUAUUUGUAUGGUAGGGGAGAGAGAAGGGAAUAUAUUGCUUUGUUCUUUAUGUAUGGAGAUAUGUUUUGUAUUUAUGAAUGUAUGUAAUGUUUUUAAUUAAUAAAAUUCUUUAUAAAAAAUUUUAAAAAGAAAAAAAGAAGGAAAAGGGGGAAGUGUACUUGUUGGCAUUGUGGAUGAAUGCUUUUAAAUGAUGUUUUAUUGAUUGUAUAUGUAUAGCUGUUAUUAACUUGUCACAGCAGUGAUGGAUUAUAUUGAUUUUCAUUUC
Sceloporus undulatus (fence lizard) is the source of this 6699-nucleotide long non-coding RNA. RefSeq lists it as uncharacterized. Lineage: Eukaryota; Metazoa; Chordata; Lepidosauria; Squamata; Phrynosomatidae. The record is from RefSeq and is a predicted model, not a curated record. The transcript has 9 exons.